RNAcentral lists this ribosomal RNA (366 nucleotides) under uncultured bacterium. RNAcentral's name for it is "partial 16S ribosomal RNA". It matches the Rfam family "Bacterial small subunit ribosomal RNA", at positions 338 to 702 of the family's 1533-position model. The record is from RNAcentral.
CCUACGGGUGGCAGCAGUGAGGAAUAUUGGUCAAUGGGCGCGAGCCUGAACCAGCCAAGUCGCGUGAGGGAAGACGGUCCUAUGGAUUGUAAACCUCUUUUGUCGGGGAGCAAAAGACGCCACGCGUGGCGUUCCGAGAGUACCCGAAGAAAAAGCAUCGGCUAACUCCGUGCCAGCAGCCGCGGUAAUACGGAGGAUGCGAGCGUUCUCCGGAUUUCUUGGGUUUAAAGGGUGCGCAGGCGGAAGAUCAAGUCAGCGGUAAAAUUGAGAGGCUCAACCUCUUCGAGCCGUUGAAACUGGUUUUCUUGCGUGAGCGAGACGUAUGCGGCCUGCGUGGUGUAGCGGUCACAUGCAUAGCUAUCACGC